RNAcentral lists this ribosomal RNA (195 nucleotides) under uncultured bacterium. Its description in RNAcentral is "partial 16S ribosomal RNA". It matches the Rfam family "Bacterial small subunit ribosomal RNA", at positions 1305 to 1500 of the family's 1533-position model. The record is from RNAcentral.
CUGCAACCCGCCUGCGUGAAGUUGGAAUCGCUAGUAAUCGCGGAUCAGCAUGCCGCGGUGAAUACGUUCCCGGGCCUUGUACACACCGCCCGUCACACCAUGAGAGUCGGGAACACCCGAAGUCCGUAGCCUAACCGCAAGGGGGCGCGGCCGAAGGUGGGUUCGAUAAUUGGGGUGAAGUCGUAACAAGGUACC